RNAcentral lists this ribosomal RNA (699 nucleotides) under uncultured fungus. RNAcentral describes it as "eukaryotic LSU rRNA". It matches the Rfam family "Eukaryotic large subunit ribosomal RNA", at positions 86 to 664 of the family's 3401-position model. The record is from RNAcentral. Lineage: Eukaryota; Fungi.
ACGGCGAGUGAAGCGGGAUGAGCUCAAAUUUAAAAUCUGGCUGGUUUACUAGUCCGAAUUGUAGUUUAUAGAAGCGUUUUCGGUGACAGCCUGGGUAUAAAUCCUUUGGAAUAGGGUAUCAUAGAGGGUGAGAAUCCCGUCUUUGACUCAGUGCAUGCUACUAUGUGAUACGUUUUCAAAGAGUCGAGUUGUUUGGGAUUGCAGCUCUAAAUGGGUGGUAAAUUUCAUCUAAAGCUAAAUAUCGACGAGAGACCGAUAGCGAACAAGUACCGUGAGGGAAAGAUGAAAAGAACUUUGCAAAGAGAGUUAAAAAGUACUUGAAAUUGCUAAGAGGGAAGCACUGGAAACCAGUCGUUGACUUGCGUAUAUUUUUACCAUUCGCUCCCGGAUUCAGCUAUUUGUUCAGAGCCCAAAGCCUGACUGGUGGUUGAUGAUGGUGUGAGUGGGUCCUGUAUUGUAAGUCGGAUCAGAAUCAAUUUGAUUUGUGAGAGAAAGCUAUGGCAACGGUAGUUCUAUAAGGGGCAACUCUUAUGGAAUGUUUAGUGCUGUAGUGCUAUCAUAGAUUGGAUUGAGGUACAAUCGUUAAUGCGCACCACUAUGGUUAUCGAUUCCCUGACCCUGACAUAUCAUGAGACGUGAACAAUAAAAUUGUGCUGUUUCAGAAGUGUGUUACUGGAAAGGAUGAAUUAGAUGCAGCAU